Molecule: long non-coding RNA, 400 nt
Organism: Cicer arietinum (chickpea)
Lineage: Eukaryota; Viridiplantae; Streptophyta; Magnoliopsida; Fabales; Fabaceae
Source: RefSeq, a predicted model, not a curated record
AAUCGACAAGCACAUAUCUCCCGUUCUUGGUACACACAAGAUCCCUAUUCAUGCAAAGCUUCAUCAGAUGAACCUUAAGAAUAGUUGAAUGGGCAAAUGAAUAAGGAGGGUGAGUGGGAGUGUGGAAGGAUUUGAAAACGUGUGGAAGACGAUUGUCAAUGAAGGAGGAGACGUGUGGUGAUUUGAUGAUGGAACUAGAACUGGGGUUCCAUGCUUGAAAUUUUGAAAAAAGAGAUUGUUUUAGCUGUUCCAUUAAAACCUUGUUCCUUUGAUCUUGCGUCAUCGCGUUUUUUCACUCUAUCAGCAAAUUAUGGUUUCGUAUUCACUCUCUCUGUUUCUAUUUAUUUAUUUAUAGAUGUUUGAAAGAUAGUUUCUCGUUGGAAUACAUAAAUGUUAGCGA